This 8396-nucleotide long non-coding RNA is filed under the name Malus domestica (apple). Its description in RNAcentral is "long non-coding RNA (MDOM_LNC020391)". The record is from RNAcentral. Lineage: Eukaryota; Viridiplantae; Streptophyta; Magnoliopsida; Rosales; Rosaceae.
AACCAAGACUCAACUCAAAUCAAAGUGAGUUGAGAAAUUUAUACCUUUGUAGAUUCCUCUUUGCAUAAGCAAAGGCUAAUCACCCAAAGAGAUGACCUUUAUUCCUUGCAUCUAAAAUCUAUGGAUUGGGAUGGAAGAAUAGGUUUCUCCAAGUUCCCAAAAUUGAGAAACUCUAAGUCUCCACACCAAGGUUAGAUUUAAGUAGAAAUGAGUGACCUUGGAGGAGUGGGAUUGCUAGAUACACCCUCCAAGGGGGCCGGCCUCCUAGAGAGAAAAGGAGAGACAUGUUCUCUCCAAUUUUCUCCAAAAGAACCCAUAAUGAAUUUUAGGCUAUAAAGUUCUUUAUAUAGUCAUUUCUUUAAAUGACCUAAAGAACCAAAAAACCCAAUUUCAACACACAUGGCCGGCCAUAUAAGGGAUUUGGGCUUUUGGGCCUUUGUGAAUCUUUAUUCAUUAAAUUGUCAUACAACUUAAGUCAAUGGGCUUGACGUUAGAAGCCCAUUGGGCCUUAAGGUCCAAAACUAUCCCGAGGUCUUUAACGAACUUAUUCGUUUGAUUAAUUAAUAUAUUAAUUAAUCAUUGCCAUAAAUAAUUAAACAAUUUAAUUAUUCUUACUCAUCUCCAUUGUUUCUUCAAUCUCCACCUUACACGAUGUACGAUCCAUUAGGUUCCUUUUAGCGAGGCAGUGGGCGAUUAGAACUCUUUCAAAUCGAUUGUGAAUUGAAACUUACUUUCAAUUCUCCCUUUAGUGAUUAUACACGUUUAAGGCUUCCACAAACCAAGAGUGACACCUAGCAGCAUAUCAUGGUUACCCAAGCUAAUCAGAAGAGGUAGAGAACCUAUUCAGUUUAGGAUUACAAAUGCAAUAGAGUCUUUCUCUAAUACAAUACUCUUGACCACAUUGUUUGGUUUGAUAGUUUAUUCAUGUCUACUAUCCAAUGUGAUUCGUGUGCUUAUAUGAUUACCUUGAAUGUGAUUUGGAACGACUUUCCUAAAUCUCAUUCAUACUCUAGCCAGAGAUUCUAAAUCAUAUCAUAGAGUAUUCUCCCCUAAACGGUUUGAAGGUUAGAGAUCCCUUGUUGCACAUUCACUUGCCUCCAUAGCUAGGUGGCUUAACCCCAAUGAUGCCGUGGACACCCGCGGAUGGGGUGACUUUGACAUAAUCAAAGAUCAAGGACUUAACCACAAGACAGCUGUGAUGCCUCAGGUCAAAGGACUAAUUUGCAUUAUCCCAACCAUGAGUUCUCAUGUGAUAUGAAUAUGAGAACUCUUCGUUGAUCGUGUUCAGUGAACUCAUUCUCUAUUGAGCACCUACGUACUUGUCUUGAUAUCACACACACCAAUGACUUGAGACUAGUCACUCUCCCUGAGAGAAGACACAGCACGUACUGAUCUUAACGGACUGUCAAUGCCCAAUUGGCAAUCAUAUGAUCAGGAACGUUUAGGAUGUGUCUACGAAAGAAUGGUCUCAUGAAUCUAACUUCUUUAGAUCGCAUUCUCCCAAUCACAUAUUCCUUUGGACUUAUCGUUUAAGCAUAUAACAUUUAUAUGAGACGGCUCAAACAAUAAUAUUUGCCCUUGAUAUUAAACUAGAUUAGUUUAACAUGUGAAAUGUCCGUAAAGUAUCAUCAUAUGAUUGGUUUUAGGGCACAUUUCCAACAAUCUCUUACUUGCACUAGAGCCAAUCAGCUUAGUCAUCAGUGAUGAUACCUCUUCUGUAUUCAUUUCAUAAAUGGCUGAAUAGUAGGCCUAGACAAUGGAUAUCUAUAUGUUAUCCAUAGAAGCAACCUUGAGAAUCACGACGUCACCAUUAUACAUGAUUCUCAAUCAUGUGGUUCAGUCUCUCAUUUGAGUUCGGACCUUGAUGAGACCUUGAUUCCCUGGCUUGAGCUAUCGCCCCCAUUAGUGUCAUAGUGUCAGUACACUAGAUACACUUUCUGGUUGGAACCGAAUAAAGAGUUCAUAAAUGAACUUUCCCAUCCAAACAACAAUGUUGUAAGCUUCUAUAUGGCAAUAUAUUUUGCAUUCAUAAUGGAACACACUAAAGUCAUUACUUUUAAUGUUUCCAUCCAAAUAUCUCUUUAGUCAUAAUAAAGAGAUAUCUGAUUAUCUCUUCAUUCAUAAUGAAGAAACAUCCAAUGAUGGAUUAGAUUCAUAAUCUAAUACAUUUACGCUUCCUUUACGUCACUCUAAUUCUUCCUCAUUCUUUGAGGAAUCUAUCCUUUAGUAUUUCUUAAAUACUUAAGGACUCACUUGACAGUUGCCAUGGUUCUGAUCCUGGGCUUGCACUGAUAUCGUCUUGUACCGUUCUAGGUACAACUCAUAUCAAUGUUUUUCAUACAAUAUGAAAUACAUAAAUUCCCUUUAUGCGUAUGCAUAAAGGAUUCUAUUUACGCAUUAUUUCUUUGGGAGUCAAAGAGUACGUUCUCUUUGAGAAGAGCAACUUCUUAGUCUCACUAGAGUUGUCCUUUUGAUUGAAGUUCUUCAUCAUAUGAGAAACUUCCUAGCAUCUAUUGUCUAUUAUUAGGGAUUGAUAUAAUCCAAUUAUAUCAUGAAAUAUAUCAUUAUAGAUUUCCAUCCCAUGUAUAUAGACUAUAUCUCCCAUAUACAUUCUAUCUUCAUAUAAUGUUUCAAAGUCAUAACUUUAAAGAAGAAGUAUUCUUUUCAUUUCCAAAAUUAAUAAAUCAUAUAUAUAUUUAAAUUUUAGGAACAUGAUCAACUCCCACUAACCUUUUGUAAACCUAGUAAACAAAAGAUUCAUUUACAUCUUUAUGAGAAAUCAAACGAUUUGAUCCUUUUCUCAUAAGAUGCAUAUAGCUCCCACUAGCUUGCUAAGAUUCAUGAUGGAUGGAUCUCUACAACUUACAUGUCUUGUGAUUUAUAGUUUUAGACAUAUAUUAUCAAGACUAUCUUAAUAAUGGUUUCGGAAACCCAUAUUAUGUCCAAACAUUGAAUCACCAUUUAGUUGUAGCUAGCUAUCUUCGAAUUAAUUGAAACCAAGACUACGUCAAAAAAUGGUUUCUUCAAAGUCAACCAUCCUUUUGAUUGUAGUUACCUUAAGCUACCAAUUAGCUUAUGAAGGUUUCAUUAUUUCGGGUCAAAUGGUACUUUACCAUUUCCUUGAGUAUAUAUCAUAUAUACACUCAAUGUAGUCAUAAGGAUUUUUAUUCUUAUUUCUUUCGAAUUAAGAGGUGCAACUCUAUGACAUAGUCAUAAAGUUCAAACCAUUCAACUGAGACGGUUUAUAAAUCCUUCUCGACUACCUUGGAGCUUGUGGUAUAGGAACUAGGUUGUUAUAUUUGUUGAUCACUAUCUUGUUUCUUAAAGAACCAUUCUUUGAGUUCUAUCCCUCGUUCAUUUGCUAUUAGGCAAAUCACAUUGUAGGAUUACAAUAAACUACCCAACAAAACAACAUUUGUUAGUUGGUUUAUAGAAGCGAUAUCCAAAAGUUAAUUUAAGGAUAUCCUACAAGAUUGUUAUCAAACAAAUAUUGCUUAUUAGCACACAACCCCCAAAUCUUAAACAUGCUUGAGAUUUGUCUUUCUUUCCAACUACAUCUUAUGGAGUCAUGAAAAAUUUGGAAGAUCUUCUAAUUGACAAUCAUAUUGUUUUUAGAAGUAUAUAUCCUAUAUAUGGGUAAUAGAUAACAUCUAACGAACUAAAUCUUAUUCGAGUUCGUUCUUCUCCUUAAUGGAGAAAUUUAUUAUCUUAUGAUGCUUCUUUCCUUGAUAUCUUUCAAGGAGACUCAUCUAAAGUGUUUCUUUUCCUUGGAUCAAAUCUAAGGAGGUAAAUACUUUAGACGUCUUACUCAUCAACUUACAUUUCUUGAAUUCUUUGAAAAUUUUUGCAAAGUAUUCGGACUUGUGUUUAUUCAAAAUAAACUAUAGUCCAACCGAGAGUGAUCUUCGGUGAAUGUCAUCCAACAUGAGUAGUAUUAUGUUGUGGACAAGUGCCACUAACAUCUAAGUGAAUUAACCUCAACAACUUUGUGAUUCUUUCUUCUUUCCAAAAGAAUAAAGAUUCGAACAUUUCACCUCUAUACAAUUUUAAUAUGAAGGUAUUGGAUCCGGAUCUAACGAUCCAAAGCAUCCAUCUUUCACCAACUCGUAAUUUAUGUUUUAGAGGUAUCACAACUUUAGUUGGGAUUAGUCACUAUCUUGCAACCUUUUGGGUUUUAAGCAUCGUUAUAUUCUAAACAGUUAACACUACCAUAUCAUCUCUACUAUAGAGACAAUCAAUUAGAUUACUAUAAUCCAAUCAUUGAUUAAUAAAGAACAAUGUUUUGUCAAACAAAACAUUCAUCCAUCUCUACUAUAGUGACGGAAUUAAAUUCCUUAAAAUUGGAAUGUAAAGACAAUCUUUGGUUUUUCCAAUUUCUUUGGUAGUUCAUAUGAGGAAGUAAGUACUAUCUGCUUUCGCAGAGAUCUAUAUUUUAUUCACGUUCCGAAUGUGAAGUACCUUUUCUUCUCUCAUAUAUCUUGUACUUCUUAUUAGUCACACUUUUACAACGAUUGUAAAACAUAGUUACUAAUACGGAAUCAAGCAUUCAAGUAGAAGAACGAACUGUUGUGAACUAUUCAAGAACAAUUUACAACACCUUCGAAAGGUGUGUUCUUGACACUUGCAAGACAUUUCUUGCAAAUACCCCUUCCAAUGUCCAUCCUUUCAUAAAGAAAGUUUGUUCCCUUGGAGUUAAUUUUAUCUUCUUCAUUUGACUUUCACCUUUGACUACAAUAGUCAUGGUCCCUAAACUCCCACUAUCUCUCUUGAAACUUAUUUCAAUUGUGUUAUACAUAUCAAACAAUUUGGAGAGCGUGCGGUUAUUGUUCACUAUAUAGUUUACAAUAAACUUAGUGAACUAUAAGGAUAGGGACACAAAGGUGAAGUCCUUGCCUAGUUUCCGUCUCGUUAAGUGAUUUAUCACUUCAACACUCAAUGAUUCAAAAUCAUCAUAAGUCCAUGUUGAUGGACUAUUUUUGUCAACCAACCAUUAUGUUCUAAACAUAAUUACAAACUUUCAAGAGUUGUUCAAGGCAACUCUCAUUUCUUCAUAUAACAAUUUGUAAGUGAAGAAUCAUGGCACAUAAAGUGUCCAUGCCUUUGUGCUUUCUUCUCAAGUUCUUUGUUCAUUUAACAAAGAAACAAGCACUAGUGUUUGCAUUGACUAAGGGUUGUUCAAAGCAACUCUUAUUUCUUCAUACAACGAUUUGUAAGUGAAGAACUAAUAACACUAAAAGUGUCGUUGUCAUUAUGCUAAUCUUCGUAAGUUCCUUUGUUCAUAUAACGAAGGAAUAAGCAUUGGUUGUUUGUGUUGACCUUUUUCAUGAUAGACUUAUCUAACAUGUUCUUCCAAUGAUACAUUACCAAUAGGAAGAAUUUGAGGAUUAGACUACUUAGGUACAUAUACAAUCCAUUUAAGACAAUCUUUGGGAUUGUGGUACCAAGUCCGGAAACUAAAGCUUUCGGUUUUUAUUUGUCAAGUGUUGGAUAGCGUUUGCAAAUAUAUUGGUAAACAAAUACAUAACGAAUAUAAAUUGAUUGAUUUUAAGCCAUUUGAUUCGGGUCUUUAAAUCAAAUAGCACCACCCACUAUUUUUGGCAAAUUCCAUAUCCCUCAUUGGAAAUCGAGAGUUUUGGAUGAAACUCUUAGUAGGGUAUGGGAGACUCACUAUUACCAAGCCCACCUCACAAUGAUAUGAUGUUGGCUAGCAUUAAUAAUAAUGAGAGAGUACGCUUACUCAUUUGCAUCUCUUGCAAGUACCCAUCAAUUUGGCCUCUAGAGAAUGUCACCUCACAAUGAUAUGAUGUUGGCUCCAUUGCACUUAGUUAAGUCAUUCCCACCAUGCUUAGUUUGUGAAGGGGUUCAAGAAUAGCCUCACGAUGAUACGAUGUCGGCCAUCCUUGUUGCCUACACUCACCUCAUCAAGUAUGUAUAUAGACUCCUCCUGAGUAUAAGCAUGCACUUUGCACUCCCCCAUGAUAGGGUGAAGGCGGUGUACAAGUCAUAAACGAUUGGAGCCUACCACGGUGGAAGGCCACGAAAGAGUGUUCAAAGCACUCUCACACUUAUCAACUUAAUAAUGGUUUGGUUGAGGGUUUUAGGUCUCAUCGCAUAUAAACAUACAUUUUAAUCUCUAUUAAAACCAUUUUGGUCCUAUUACAACUAUUGGUCCAUAUGAUUGUUUUUAGUUGUAUAUAAUACUCCCACUAUGCUUAUAAAACGUUUUUUUUUUUUAAAGCAAGAGUAUAUGAUACUACUAACAUAACCUUUGCAUUCAUUUGAUGGACUAUAUAGUUGCCUUAGGGCCUUAGGAUGACUAUGAACCUUUGUUUAGAUUCAACACGAGCCUUGUGUGGAAUCUCAGUCUAGGGAUGGUGAUUGAUUUUAGUUACACGUUUAAUCACAUUAAGGCGUGUUGUCUUAGGGGCGUUGGACCCAACUACUUCAUUUUCAUGCAUAUCAAAUAAAGCAAGAAAGAAGUACUUCAAAGUAAAGGUGAGCUUAUGCUCAUUACAACAUUUGCAUAAAACAAAUUACCUUAAAGUAAAGAAGGGCUUAUGCCCUUUUGCAACAUUUGAUCAAAUCAAAUUACAACCAAAAUCUAAUCUACACAUUCCCAUGGUUCAAACAAAUUUGAAACGGCCUUUCACAUAGCUCAAUUAUAUUAGGCUUAGGUUCAUAAUCACCCUUUAAUUAAUUAACACUUUAACUAAUUAAAUAGAAUGCAACAUUUUCAUUUGGUUUUUGUAUCCAUAAGAUUGAUUUAAAUGGAGCUAAAUGAAAUGAAAAUCCAAUUCUCAUUUAAAGAGACAAAACAAUUUUGUUCUCUACCUAAUUUGGGCCAAUAUGCAAUAACCACAACUUAUUUGGGCCAUAAAGCAAUUAACCUCAACUUUUGGGCUAUAUUGCAAAACUUUUGGGGGUCACUUUGUAAAAACACAAAAGUCCACUACUUCAUGUAAUUACAACUAGAACCCAAAAUUUUAAUAAUGCAAAAACUUCAUUAAAGGAGCAAAACAAUUUGUCCUUUAGCGUUUUUGGACCUAAACGUAAAAACGUAAACUUUUGGGCCAAAGUGCAAAUACACAAAAGUAUCAAACCUUUAUGUAAUUGCAUAAAAGCCCCAAAAGUACCCUACAUGUAGGGUGGCCGGUUUUGGAGAGGAGAUGUGAGUGAUGUGUGUGUUGAUUUGUGAGUUUUGACAUAAAGCAUGCAAGUGCACAAGUGGUGUGUGUGAAAGGGAAUUAAUCCUUUCACACCCACCAUUAUUUCUAUCACCAUUUAAACAAAUAUCUAAAACAUUUAAACAUUUGAAAAACAUAAAACAUAAACUUUAUGAAAUAAAUCAAAACUUUGAAUCAAAACACAAAACUUGUUGUUCUUGGCAAAAAUGUCAAGAACAAUGAAGAACAUUCAUGAAAAAACCCAAAAAAUUUCCAUGAACAUUUUUCACCCAAAAACAUUCCAAAACCAUUCAAACUUUAGGGAAAUAACAUAUAACCAAACUAUGGUACAUAGGGGUUCCAAAAGUUACUUGAAAACACAUUUAACAAGUCAAACAAGAACCCAAAAAUCCACCCUUUGGAUUUGGCCGAAAAUUCCCAAAAGCAUGGCAACAAAUUUUAGCUCCAAUAUUCAUGCUCAUAAGAACUACAUCUACAACAUUUGAGAUGGCAAAUUUUCUAGCAAAUUUUACAUUAAAAGAAGCAAGAAUAAAGCUUGUAACAAUUACAACUUUUAAAUCACAAACUAUGAACUACAAAACCCAAAAGAAUUCACCAACUACUAGACCUAGGCUCUGAUACCACUUGAAGGAUGAUUUUGUGAAAACAUGUUCAUUUGAGCAACAUCAUAUAGCAUGCAAUUAACAAUUAAAGACGGAAACAUGCUUGCAUGCACUCAAAAACAAAACAUUAACCAUGAAAUUCAAAGCCUAGUAGAUUGGUGAACCAAGACUCAACUCAAAUCAAAGUGAGUUGAGAAAUUUAUACCUUUGUAGAUUCCUCUUUGCAUAAACAAAGGCUAAUCACCCAAAGAGAGGGCCUUCAUUCCUUGCAUCUAAAAUCUAUGGAUUUGGAUGGAAGAAUAGGUUUCUCCAAGUUCCCAAAAUUGAGAACCUCUAAGUCUCCACACCAAGGUUAGAUUUAAGUAGAAAUGAGUGACCUUGGAGGAGUGGGAUUGCUAGAUACACCCUCCAAGGGGGCCGGCCUCCUAGAGAGAAAAGGAGAGACAUGUUCUCUCCAAUUUUCUCCAAAAGAACCCAUAAUGAAUUUUAGGCUAUAAAGUUCUUUAUAUAGUCAUUCUUUAAAUGACCUAAAGAACCAAAAAACCCAAUUUCAACACACAUGGCCGGCCAUAUAAGGGAUUUGGGCUUUUGGGCCUUUGUGAAUCUUUAU